Long non-coding RNA from Gymnogyps californianus (California condor), 233 nucleotides. RefSeq lists it as uncharacterized. The transcript has 3 exons. NCBI's taxonomy places the organism in Eukaryota, Metazoa, Chordata, Aves, Accipitriformes, Cathartidae. The record is from RefSeq and is a predicted model, not a curated record.
UGGAUUGGAAGCUUAUUGUAUUUCAACUCCUAAUGAGGACAAGAUGAGGUCAUGAAUCUCCCUGAUAAAUGGGCCUGAAUUCUAAAGUGACUCGAGCCUACUUUGUACACUAAUAGUGAUGCAGGCUGCCUUUAAGACCUUGUGUAUGUGGUUCCAGAAGAUCAUCUUAAGGUGUUCACUUAUAAGGACCUGGUUGUGGGAGUUACCAAAGAAAUGUAAAGGUGAGAAGUGGG